Molecule: ribosomal RNA, 254 nt
Filed under: uncultured archaeon
Lineage: Archaea
Description: partial 16S ribosomal RNA
Rfam family: Archaeal small subunit ribosomal RNA
Source: RNAcentral
UACCGGCAGCUCGAGUGAUGGCCGAUUUUAUUGGGCCUAAAGCGUCCGUAGCUGGCCCUGCAAGUCCAUCGGGAAAUCCACUCGCCUAACGGGUGGACGUCCGGCGGAAACUACAGGGCUUGGGGCCGGAAGACUUGAGGGGUACUUCGGGGGUAGGGGUGAAAUCCUGUAAUCCUGGAAGGACCGCCGAUGGCGAAAGCACCUCAAGACGACGGAUCCGACAGUGAGGGAAGAAAGCUAGGGUCUCGAACCGG